CGGCAAUAGCUCAAAUUUGAAAUCUGGAGUUUUUGAACUUCCGAGUUGUAAUUUGAAGAGGAUGCUUUGGUUGUGGCCUUUGUCUAAGUGCCUUGGAACAGGAUGUCAUGGAGGGUGAGAAUCCCGUAUAUGACUAUAGGCUUUCUUCCAUGUAUAGCACCUUCGAA
This 167-nucleotide ribosomal RNA is filed under the name Glomerales sp. RNAcentral describes it as "partial large subunit ribosomal RNA". It matches the Rfam family "Eukaryotic large subunit ribosomal RNA", at positions 99 to 261 of the family's 3401-position model. The record is from RNAcentral. Lineage: Eukaryota; Fungi; Glomeromycota; Glomeromycetes; Glomerales; Glomeraceae.